RNAcentral lists this ribosomal RNA (406 nucleotides) under uncultured bacterium. RNAcentral's name for it is "partial 16S ribosomal RNA". It matches the Rfam family "Bacterial small subunit ribosomal RNA", at positions 30 to 526 of the family's 1533-position model. The record is from RNAcentral.
AUUGAACGCUGGCGGCAGGCCUAACACAUGCAAGUCGAACGAGUGGCGGACGGGUGAGUAAUUUCUGGGAAACUGCCUGAUGGAGGGGGAUGACUACUGGAAACGGUAGCUAAUACCGCAUAAGGUCGGCUGUGCCCACAUGGGCUUAGCUAGUAGGUGGGGUAAAGGCUCACCUAGGCGACGAUCCCUAGCUGGUCUGAGAGGAUGACCAGCCACACUGGGACUGAGACACGGCCCAGACUCCUACGGGAGGCAGCAGUGGGGAAUAUUGGACAAUGGGCGAAAGCCUGAUGCAGCCAUGCCGCGUGUAUGAAGAAGGCCUUCGGGUUGUAAAGUACUUUCAGCGGGGAGGCGUUACCCGAAGAAGAAGCACCGGCUAACUCCGUGCCAGCAGCCGCGGUAAUAC